Phyllopteryx taeniolatus (common seadragon) is the source of this 1414-nucleotide long non-coding RNA. RefSeq lists it as uncharacterized. The transcript has 3 exons. The record is from RefSeq and is a predicted model, not a curated record. Lineage: Eukaryota; Metazoa; Chordata; Actinopteri; Syngnathiformes; Syngnathidae.
UGUGCGAUGAAUGCGCGAAACCAAGUCCCGCUGAAAAAUGGAUGCUACUUCGUCAGGCAUCUUUCGUAUCCCUACACCUCUCUACAUGUUUGAGCCAUGAAAAUGCAUCUGCUUAAAGCCUUUAGUGGCUGGAAUAUAUCCCACCGGCCCGUCACGGGGCUUUCCGUGCAGUAUCCACCAGCUAGCUCACAAGCUAACAGACUUUGGCCUAGUAAUAAUAACUAACUCUCAAUUGCACUGCUGUGAAUGAAGGCGCUCAAAUUCUAACACUGUGGGGGAGGCAACGUUGUAGCAACGGCCCAAAAAAAUCAGGAAAACUGAAAUGGUGAAAACAGUUUCAUGUUAUACAACCACAAUUGAAUUUAAGAAACAAAUCUCUGAAUUCACUUUAUUUUGAUUUUGUCUUUUUUUUUUUUUUUUACUAGAACAAUAACUGUACUUCUACUUAAGUACAAGCUCUGCAGGAAAAAGGAGAGAAUGUCCUUGCUCUCAAUUCCCACCAAGACAUCUUCAUUGUCACACCUUGCAUCCAACUUCUGACACCAAAGCAACAUGCACCGCAACGAGGGGAGCAUGUCAGACCACUCCACUUCACUCCCCGCUUCCACUUUGUGUUCUCUUCAUUACACUCCAAAAGAAUGUCAACAAAAGAGUGCGCCUAAAUAGCGAUGCAAAUGCAUGGAGCCCCACAAGAGCGAGUUUAUUUGUUACAUGAGCACUUACAAAUUUAUUGUUUAAUCAAAUGCAAGGCCUCUGAUUGCGUUGAGAUGUUGAAUCAAAAUUUGCUGCUUUUAUUUUUGUGUAUGUUUUGCAUAGUUAAUACUUGUGCACAAACCACAGCAUUAUGACGAACUGCACAGUCUAGGAGAUCAACAACAAGAGCUGCAACAGCCUUUACAAAGAUACCAAUGGUCAUAUCAGAAACAGCUCUCCGAAUGAUAUGGUGCAGGUGUACACUACUGAAAACUACAACCACAAAUUAAACAUAUUGUUAAAUUAAUACCUCUCUGACAGUGUCAGUCAUAACUGAACUUUAUAAUUUUUGUAAAGGCAGAAUAUUUGAUACAGCUAUUGUAGUACAAAGCGAGUGUUCGGGCCACUGAAAAAACAAAACAAAACUCAGACUACGAUGUUAUGGGGAAAAAACACUUAUUUUCUGAGAAUAAAGUACUAAAUUACAAGAAUUCAUUGGGCAUGGUGGUUUUUUGUAUGUUAAAUCAGAGGCACAAGAUGGGGGAAGGGACAGCUGAAAUCUUUUACAAAUCAUACAUACUGUCAAGUCGUAAUGACUAUUUUAACAAAUUGGACAAAAAGGGAUUUCUUUUUAUUAUUAUUAUUAUUAUUAUUAUUAUUAUUAUUGCAAACUCCCGUUUAAAUUAUACUUUUUGUUUUGACCCUCAUACUCUUUAUUACA